UUUAUUGCUAUGUGUAAACUGCUUGCAACGGAACCCAACGGAUGUAUCGCAUAUGCCCGUCAGAUAUCAGAUAAUGAAGUAGAUGGGCCUACACUUCUGCAGAUGGCUGAAAGAAUGAUGAAAGCCGAGCCCCUGUCAGUCAAAUAACCCCAGCAGCCCAACC
Long non-coding RNA from Brienomyrus brachyistius, 163 nucleotides. RefSeq lists it as uncharacterized. NCBI's taxonomy places the organism in Eukaryota, Metazoa, Chordata, Actinopteri, Osteoglossiformes, Mormyridae. The record is from RefSeq and is a predicted model, not a curated record. The transcript has 3 exons.